This 428-nucleotide ribosomal RNA is filed under the name uncultured bacterium. Its description in RNAcentral is "bacterial SSU rRNA". It matches the Rfam family "Bacterial small subunit ribosomal RNA", at positions 28 to 441 of the family's 1533-position model. The record is from RNAcentral.
GAUGAACGCUGGCGGCGUGCUUAAUACAUGCAAGUCGAACGGAGACAUUAUAGCAAUAUGGUGUCUUAGUGGCGAACGGGUGAGUAACGCGUUGGUGACCUGCCCCGAAGAGGGGGAUAACAGCUCGAAAGGGCUGCUAAUACCCCAUGUGAUCGUUAGAGUUAGAGGUCUUGCGAUUAAAGGAGUCGUUCUUUGAACGUUCCGCUUCGGGAGGGGCCUGCGUCCCAUCAGCUAGUUGGUAGGGUAAUGGCCUACCAAGGCGACGACGGGUAGGGGACCUGAGAGGGUGACCCCCCACACUGGCACUGAAACACGGGCCAGACACCUACGGGUGGCAGCAGUAGGGAAUCUUGCACAAUGGGCGAAAGCCUGAUGCAGCAACGCCGCGUGCACGAUGAAGGCCUUCGGGUCGUAAAGUGCUUUUCGGG